UACAACUGAACAAACAGCCGUUCAUUGGCAAUUCUCCUAAUAAUAAAGACAAAUAUUUAUCAAGUUUUGAAACUAAUACUUGCAUGUCUUGGGCUUUACCCGUCUGACAAUUGAUUUUUGUUUUCAAAAAAUUAUUUAAAAUAAUUUUUCUCUCAAUUCCAUGAAUAAUUGGGAAAAUAAGAUCAAUUAACUUGGUUUUUCUUAUAAAAAAUUUAGAUUCGAAAUAUUCUUUCUCAUCUUCAAAAUUUGAAACAAAAUCUUUUAAACUAUAGAUUUCUCCUUGACUCAUUCUUUUUGUGAUGAAAUAUUCAAACUCUGUGAGCAAAGAAGGCAGCCCGGCCAUUGUAAUUUUAAUUAAAUUGCAAAUAUCUUGACUAAAAUUUAAUUUUUUGAUUAGAAUUAAAUCCAAACAUUUGUUUUUUUUUUCGAAGUUACAAAAAUCAAUCAUACAAUAAACAUUCUUGUUAAUAAUAAUAUUAAGAUCAACAGCUGUCUUAACCUUAUGAAAUAACUCUUGGAAUUUACCUGAAGCAAAGAGAAUAUAUUUAUCAUCUAUUUGCGAAAUAUUGAUAUUAGUUGUCAUAUUUACUUUAUUUUCGCAUUGAAAUUUCCUAGAAAUGGGUAAAGGUAUAAUUGGAUUACGAUUAAUUAUCACUAGAUUAAACAAAUUUCUUUUCAGAGUUGUAGAAACGCAGCCACUUUCAGGCGAUCGCUUGGUUUCAUUUAUUUGUUUAAUAAAGUCAUUUCUUGGAAUACCUUUAUUGCAAUUUCUACUUUUCAUUUUGGAUAAGUUUAUGAUAAUAGCAGCUGAGGGUAUAUCAUUGAUUCCCAAUAAAAUACUACCAAAAUUUAAAGAAUGAUAUACUUCUUGUAAUAGCUUAAAACUAUUCCUUCCGACAGGAGAUGUCAGAGGAAAUAACUUAAUAGCAGUUGGACUCCAGUGAGAAGGCACAAAACCUAUAAUUUUCAUAGAAAUGUUAUCAACUAACCUAUCCCAUCCUUUUUUUUGAAACUCAUUUUCCAUAAUUGCGAUAAUAUUCUCCUGUUCUACCACCUCUCCUUCCUCUGAGUCAGAUAAAUCUGUCGGGUCAAUCUUUCUAUCGAUAUACUCGUUGUAAGCAUUUUUGUCCACAUAUUUCAAUAAAUAAUUGUUUUUUUCUGCAAAUAGUGUUAAUAUAGUAUUUCCACCGAAGAAUAGGUUUGAAAAAUCUAACCUUAAAGUUAAUAAGUUCAGCGAAUUUGCAAUUAUUACAUCAGAAUAGCUCAGUAAACAUCUUGAAUCUACACAAGAUAUUUUAAUUUGAUGAUUACUUUGAUUCGUAAUAAUAGUUGGUCUUUUAUCACUACUUAUAGAAAGAAGUACUUUAGAAUAUUUAAUUAUUAAAAUC
Molecule: non-coding RNA, 1388 nt
Filed under: Cryptosporidium parvum
Lineage: Eukaryota; Apicomplexa; Conoidasida; Eucoccidiorida; Cryptosporidiidae
Source: RNAcentral